This 366-nucleotide ribosomal RNA is filed under the name uncultured eukaryote. Its description in RNAcentral is "partial 18S ribosomal RNA". It matches the Rfam family "Eukaryotic small subunit ribosomal RNA", at positions 592 to 976 of the family's 1831-position model. The record is from RNAcentral.
CAAUAGCGUAUAUUAAAGUUGUUGCAGUUAAAAAGCUCGUAGUUGAAUUUCUGGUGGGCGCGCCGGUCUUCCAAGUGUUGUACUGGGCGCAGUCCGCCAUCCUUGUGGAGAGGGCUCGCAUUGAGUUGCGUGUCGGAUCUGCAUCAUUUACUGUGAAAAAAUUAGAGUGUUUAAAGCAGGCUGUCGCUUGAAUACAUUAGCAUGGAAUAAUAAGAUAGGACUUCGGUCUAUUUUGUUGGUUGCGAACCGAGGUAAUGAUUAAUAGGGAUAGUUGGGGGUAUUCAUAUUUGGCAGUCAGAGGUGAAAUUCUUAGAUUUGCUGAAGAUGAACAACUGCGAAAGCAUUUACCAAGGAUGUUUUCAUUAA